RNAcentral lists this ribosomal RNA (997 nucleotides) under Dipylidium caninum. Its description in RNAcentral is "large subunit ribosomal RNA". The stretch from base 676 to 955 matches the Rfam family "Archaeal large subunit ribosomal RNA", at positions 2151 to 2715 of the family's 2987-position model. The record is from RNAcentral. Lineage: Eukaryota; Metazoa; Platyhelminthes; Cestoda; Cyclophyllidea; Dipylidiidae.
AUCUAAGAUAGCUGUUGUUAUUGAUCUUAAUCUAUUGAUUGCGUUUAUUGUUUUGUGUCGGGUUUCUUGCCUUUUGCAUCAUGCUUAUUGGAUUUUUUUAACUAAUUGUUUUAUACUGAAAAGUUUUGAUCUCGUAUUUGAUUGUUUUGAACUUAGAUUUUUUUAGGUUAAAUUAUUUAAAUUUGAUGCGUGAAGUGAUAAAUUAUUCGUAUAACUUUAUAGCCGUUUAACUGUAUUUGAUUUCUUUUCACGCAUUGGGUUAUAAUAUCUUAUGUGUUACUAUACCGUGUUUUUUUUGUAUUUUUGUAAUUAGGUUAAAAUUACCUAUUUAUUAGAAGUUUGUUGUAAGUUUGUUUAUUUGUUUUAAUGCGGUUUGUUUUGUUUACAGUUUUUUAUAAAAUUUUAGAUUAUAUUUAUCAGUGAAUAAGUAAUUCAAGUGUUUUAGUUAUUUCUUGAAGUUUGUCUGUCUGUUUAUUAAAAACAUUUCUAAUUUUAAUUUUAAUUAGUAGUACCUGCUCUAUGUUUAGUAUAAAUGGCCGCAGUAUAUUGACUGUGCUAAGGUAGCAUAAUUAAUUGCCUUAUAAUUGAGGGCUUGUUUGAAUGGUUUGACAAGAUAAUUUGAAUAUCUAAUACUUUAUUGAAAUUGUUUUUGAGGGCACAGAAACCUCAUUUUUUAAUUAGACGGAAAGACCCCGGGAACUUGUUUAUUUUGCCUGGGGCAGGUUUUAUUUUUUUAAUUAAAUUAUGACCCUUUUGAGUUUAUUGGUUUAAGUUACCCCGGGGAUAACAGUGUAAUGAUUAAUUAGAGGUCUUAUCGAAUUAAUUGAUUGCUACCUCGAUGUUGACUUAGAUAUAUAGUUUUGGCGCAGUUGUUUAGACUUUUGGUCUGUUCGACCUUAUAUAUCUCCAUGAGUUGAGUUAAGACCGGCGUGAGCCAGGUCGGUUCUUAUCUAUUGGUGUGAUCUAUUAGUACGAAAGGAUUGUAGAUCUUUUUUUU